Molecule: non-coding RNA, 405 nt
Organism: Octodon degus (degu)
Lineage: Eukaryota; Metazoa; Chordata; Mammalia; Rodentia; Octodontidae
Source: the annotation of a RefSeq genome assembly
UCUGUCUUCUGUAGAAUCUCCAAAGAACAGCUCCUCACCAUGGAUUGGAUGUGGAGAAUCCUCUUCUUGAUGGCAGCUGUGAAAAGUGCCCGUGGCCAGGUGCAGCUGGUGCAGUCUGGGGCUGAGCUGAGGAGGCCUGAGUCCUCAGUGAAGGUGUCCUGCAAGGCUUCAGGCUACAGCUUCACUGGUUACUGGAUGCACUGGGUGCGACAGAGCCCUGGACAGGGGCUGGAGUGGAUUGGAGAGAUCAACCCUCAUAAUGGCAAUACUAAUUAUGCUCAGAAGUUCCGGGGCAGGGCCACCCUCACUGCUGACAAGUCUUCCAGCACAGCCUACAUGGAGCUGAGCAGCUUGAAAUCUGAGGACACGGCCAUGUAUUACUGUGCGAGGCACACAGUGUGGUGA